AACGAACGCUGGCGGCAUGCCUAACACAUGCAAGUCGAACGAGACCUUCGGGUCUAGUGGCGCACGGGUGCGUAACGCGUGGGAACCUGCCCUUAGGUUCGGAAUAACUCCCCGAAAGGGGUGCUAAUACCGGAUAAUGUCUUCGGACCAAAGAUUUAUCGCCUUUGGAUGGGCCCGCGUUGGAUUAGCUAGUUGGUAGGGUAAAAGCCUACCAAGGCGACGAUCCAUAGCUGGUCUGAGAGGAUGAUCAGCCACACUGGGACUGAGACACGGCCCAGACUCCUACGGAAGGCAGCAGUGGGGAAUAUUGGACAAUGGGCGAAAGCCUGAUCCAGCAAUGCCGCGUGAGUGAUGAAGGCCUUAGGGUUGUAAAGCUCUUUUACCCGUGAUGAUAAUGACAGUACCGGGAGAAUAAGCUCCGGCUAACUCCGUG
Molecule: ribosomal RNA, 433 nt
Filed under: uncultured bacterium
Lineage: Bacteria
Description: partial 16S ribosomal RNA
Rfam family: Bacterial small subunit ribosomal RNA
Source: RNAcentral